Molecule: ribosomal RNA, 253 nt
Filed under: uncultured bacterium
Lineage: Bacteria
Description: partial 16S ribosomal RNA
Rfam family: Bacterial small subunit ribosomal RNA
Source: RNAcentral
UACGAAGGGGGCUAGCGUUGUUCGGAUUUACUGGGCGUAAGGCGCACGUAGGCGGAUCGUUAAGUCGGGGGUGAAAUCCUGGAGCUCAACUCCAGAACUGCCUUCGAUACUGGCGAUCUUGAGUCCGGAAGAGGUGAGUGGAACUCCUAGUGUAGAGGUGGAAUUCGUAGAUAUUAGGAAGAACACCAGUGGCGAAGGCGGCUCACUGGUCCGGUACUGACGCUGAGGUGCGAAAGCGUGGGGAGCAAACAGG